RNAcentral lists this ribosomal RNA (496 nucleotides) under uncultured bacterium. RNAcentral describes it as "partial 16S ribosomal RNA". It matches the Rfam family "Bacterial small subunit ribosomal RNA", at positions 29 to 507 of the family's 1533-position model. The record is from RNAcentral.
AUGAACGCUGGCGGCGUGCCUCAUCCCUGCCAGUCGCGCGAACAGACGAGGAGCUUGCUCCUCUGACGUUAGCGGCGGACGGGUGAGUAACACGUGGAUAACCUACCUAUAAGACUGGGAUAACUUCGGGAAACCGGAGCUAAUACCGGAUAGUAUAUUGAACCGCAUGGUUCAAUAGUGAAAGACGGUUUUGCUGUCACUUAUAGAUGGAUCCGCGCCGCAUUAGCUAGUUGGUAAGGUAACGGCUUACCAAGGCGACGAUGCGUAGCCGACCUGAGAGGGUGAUCGGCCACACUGGAACUGAGACACGGUCCAGACUCCUACGGGAGGCAGCAGUAGGGAAUCUUCCGCAAUGGGCGAAAGCCUGACGGAGCAACGCCGCGUGAGUGAUGAAGGUCUUCGGAUCGUAAAACUCUGUUAUUAGGGAAGAACAAAUGUGUAAGUAACUAUGCACGUCUUGACGGUACCUAAUCAGAAAGCCACGGCUAACUACGUG